AAUUUAAAACUGCCUCAGCCACGUGAUUUGGGAGGCUUAUUCGUGUGUGCAUGGAGGAAGGCCUUUCUUAAAUAUUUCAUGAGGAUUCGUGCCUCUGGCCUGAUCGGCUAGACCUCUCUGACUGCAGAAUAAGUGAAAAUGUUGUAACAACGGAACAUGCUUUGACCCAGUAGAUUAUAACUGCUCUGAAAAAGCCAUCGCACUCUCUUAGGUAUUACUCCAAUGUUUAAAAUCGAAAGCAUAUUGUCAAUUGCAGAGGUUGAACCAUGGAAGUUGGACCAUCCCUUAGGGUCAAAGGAGUCUCUUCACUGAACUCCUGCCUUAUUUGGUUACAUCCUCAACCGAUCCUAGCAAGAAUCCCUCGGGUAUGAGUGUCAGCUUUGAAAACGAAUGAACCUGCUCCUGAAGCAAUGCGGCCUCAUUGAGGAGAAGUCAACACCCUCACCGAGAUGCAGACUCUUACAGAAUUGGAUUUGCUCAGAACACCGUCCAGCAACUACAGAGGAGACCCAGCUAAUGUAAGGGAAUUUGCUCAGACUUUGUGAGCCACACCUUCUCACGAGACCCUGAUGGGAGCCUGAGUCAUCUGCAAAGUGACCUCCCGCCCUCCAGGUCUGUGCCCUCCUGACUGCAGAGCAGCCCCUUGGCUCAGCAUCCCUCUCACUCCACGACACCACAGGAGUGGAGGAACAGAUAUUAGGUACAAGUGAUGGCUGGAAUGCAUGCACCUCCUUUUGGCUCCCUCUUCAAGCCCCAUGAACACUGCAUGGAAACGGACUUGUUAAUGUCCAAGGCCCAUCAACAGUGUUGACCCCAGGAGGGACCCAGGCUGUGACAGUCCUCAGUAGCUGCAAGCACACAGAUGCGGGAAGACGCCCGGCCUGGAACGUGGAGUCCCGAGUCAGCAGUGAGGACCCCAUAAGAGCAUCUCCUUACCCCGUGGGAUCCCUGCAGCCCUGCGAGCUGGCAGCACCAGGCACUCUCGAAUUGGAAGUGAAUGUGGUGCAGAAAGAAAGCAGACUGGGCAACAGUGUGUUUAGGACACAGCGAGAUCUUCAGGUGUCUCCAGUCUCUGGGUGUCUGGACCACUGGUCCUCCCCACAGGCAGAAGCCUGCGCUCCACUCUCAGGUGGGCUCCAAGGUGCUGCCUCCCAGCCUGGCGCCUGCCCAGACUACAGGGGACCUUCCCUGGUUGCCCACAGCCCGGCCUCUCUGCCCCACUGGUUCCUGGCAGGAGCAGGCAGAGUCUUCUCGAGGAGCUGACAGUCUCAAAGAAAAACAUGCAGAUUAUACAGAUAUUGAUACUGGA
This 1309-nucleotide long non-coding RNA is filed under the name Homo sapiens (human). RNAcentral describes it as "HSALNT0299992". The record is from RNAcentral. Lineage: Eukaryota; Metazoa; Chordata; Mammalia; Primates; Hominidae.